GAUGAACGCUGGCGGCGUGCCUAAUACAUGCCAGUCGAGCGAACAGACGAGGAGCUUGCUCCUUUGACGUUAGCGGCGGACGGGUGAGUAACACGUGGAUAACCUACCUAUAAGACUGGGAUAACUUCGGGAAACCGGAGCUAAUACCGGAUAAUAUAUUGAACCGCAUGGUUCAAUAGUGAAAGACGGUUUUGCUGUCACUUAUAGAUGGAUCCGCGCCGCAUUAGCUAGUUGGUAAGGUAACGGCUUACCAAGGCAACGAUGCGUAGCCGACCUGAGAGGGGGGUCGGCCGCACGGGAACUGAGACGCGGUCCAUGCUCCUACGAGAGGCAGCAGUAGGGAAUCUGCCGCAAUAGGCGAAAGCCUGGCGGAGCAACGCCGCGUGAGUGGUGAAGGUCUUCGGAUCGUAAAACUCUGUUAUUAGGGAAGAACAAAUGUGUAAGUAACUAUGCACGUCUUGACGGUACCUAGUCAGAAAGCCACGGCUAACUACGUG
Molecule: ribosomal RNA, 497 nt
Filed under: uncultured bacterium
Lineage: Bacteria
Description: partial 16S ribosomal RNA
Rfam family: Bacterial small subunit ribosomal RNA
Source: RNAcentral